Long non-coding RNA from Cervus elaphus (red deer), 238 nucleotides. RefSeq lists it as uncharacterized. Lineage: Eukaryota; Metazoa; Chordata; Mammalia; Artiodactyla; Cervidae. The transcript is spliced from 3 exons. The record is from RefSeq and is a predicted model, not a curated record.
UUUACAACUGUUUGAUUUGUAAGGGCUUCCUUUUCUUUAGACAAUUUAAAUAAGAACUCACAACUUCAGCAAUAUUAUAAAAAAACAGAAGACUCACACUGAGACAUACAUAAAUCCAGAGAAACAGAGAUCUUCUAGUUUUCUGCCUGAGAUUUAAAACAUUUCUUUGAGCCGUUUUUUUUUUUUUUUUUGGCGGGGGAGGCAAGAAUACCGGAGUUGGUUGCCAUUCUUUUUUCCA